UACGUAGGGUGCAAGCGUUGUCCGGAAUUAUUGGGCGUAAAGAGCUCGUAGGCGGUUUGUCGCGUCUGCUGUGAAAUCCCGAGGCUCAACCUCGGGCCUGCAGUGGGUACGGGCAAACUAGAGUGUGGUAGGGGAGAUUGGAACUCCUGGUGUAGCGGUGGAAUGCGCAGAUAUCAGGAAGAACACCGAUGGCGAAGGCAGAUCUCUGGGCCAUUACUGACGCUGAGGAGCGAAAGCGUGGGGAGCGAAC
RNAcentral lists this ribosomal RNA (250 nucleotides) under uncultured bacterium. Its description in RNAcentral is "partial 16S ribosomal RNA". It matches the Rfam family "Bacterial small subunit ribosomal RNA", at positions 524 to 773 of the family's 1533-position model. The record is from RNAcentral.